GCCACCUUAGCUCAGCUGGUAGAGCGCGUCUUUCGUAAAGACGAUGUCCCCGGUUCGAAUCCGGGAGGUGGCUCAA
Molecule: transfer RNA, 76 nt
Filed under: Candidatus Liptonbacteria bacterium RIFCSPHIGHO2_01_FULL_57_28
Lineage: Bacteria; Candidatus Liptoniibacteriota
Description: tRNA-Thr
Rfam family: tRNA
About the family: Transfer RNA (tRNA) molecules are approximately 80 nucleotides in length. Their secondary structure includes four short double-helical elements and three loops (D, anti-codon, and T loops).
Source: RNAcentral